UAAUAAGUGUUUUAUGGCACUUUUUAAAUCCAUAUCCACCUUGUGUGCAAUGUCAGUCGAUCUUCUUCAUGGAGAUCGACCAAACAUCAACCUUUAUCUUUUAACUCUUUGUCUGAAAAAUAUUAUGAAUAGACAAUUCAAAAUA
This 145-nucleotide unclassified non-coding RNA is filed under the name soil metagenome. RNAcentral's name for it is "partial internal transcribed spacer 1". The record is from RNAcentral.